Molecule: ribosomal RNA, 587 nt
Filed under: uncultured Acidithiobacillaceae bacterium
Lineage: Bacteria; Pseudomonadati; Pseudomonadota; Acidithiobacillia; Acidithiobacillales; Acidithiobacillaceae
Description: bacterial SSU rRNA
Rfam family: Bacterial small subunit ribosomal RNA
Source: RNAcentral
ACUCCUACGGGAGGCAGCAGUGGGGAAUAUUGGACAAUGGGGGCAACCCUGAUCCAGCAAUGCCGCGUGUGUGAAGAAGGCCUUCGGGUUGUAAAGCACUUUCGGUGGGGACAAACAAGGCGGAGCUAACAUCUCCGUCCCUGAUGGUACCCAAAGAAGAAGCACCGGCUAACUCUGUGCCAGCAGCCGCGGUAAUACAGAGGGUGCAAGCGUUAAUCGGAAUUACUGGGCGUAAAGGGUGCGUAGGUGGUUUGUUAAGUCAGGCGUGAAAUCCUCGGGCUCAACCUGGGAACUGCGCUUGAUACUGACAGACUCGAGUGUGGUAGAGGAUAGUGGAAUUCCCGGUGUAGCGGUGAAAUGCGUAGAUAUCGGGAGGAACAUCAGUGGCGAAGGCGGCUAUCUGGACUAACACUGACACUGAGGCACGAAAGCGUGGGUAGCAAACAGGAUUAGAUACCCUGGUAGUCCACGCCCUAAACGAUGRGUACUAGACGUCGGGAAGCUUGUCUUCUUGUGUCGCAGCUAACGCAAUAAGUACCCCGCCUAGGAGUACGUCGCAGAUUAAAACUCAAAUGAAUUGACGAGGC